This 1583-nucleotide ribosomal RNA is filed under the name Promops centralis (big crested mastiff bat). RNAcentral describes it as "16S ribosomal RNA". It matches the Rfam family "Bacterial large subunit ribosomal RNA". The record is from RNAcentral. Lineage: Eukaryota; Metazoa; Chordata; Mammalia; Chiroptera; Molossidae.
ACUAAUACUAGUCCAACCCAACUUAAACAAAAUUAAGCUAUUAUAAUAAAACAAAUCAUUCAGUUAACCCUUAAAAGUAUAGGUGAUAGAAAUUUUAAAUUUGGCACUAUAGAGAUAGUACCGCAAGGGAAAAAUGAAAGAACAAACCAAAGUACAAAAAAGCAAAGAUUACACCUUUUACCUUUUGCAUAAUGACUUAACCAGACCCCUAUUAGCAAAAAGAAUUUAAGUUAAUAUACCCGAAACCAGACGAGCUAUCCACGAGCAGCCCCACAGAGCAAACUCAUCUAUGUAGCAAAAUAGUGAGAAGACUUUUGGAUAGAGGUGAAAAGCCUACCGAGCCUGGUGAUAGCUGGUUAUCCAGAAAAAGAAUUUAAGUUCUAAUUUAAAUUUACCAAAAAAACACACAAUUUUAAUGUAAAUUUAAAGAAUAGUCUAAAAGGGUACAGCCUUUUAGACACAGGGAAACAACCUUAAAUAGAGAGUAACAAUAAAAAUUAAACCAUAGUUGGCCUAAAAGCAGCCAUCAAUUAAGAAAGCGUUCAAGCUCAACAACACCAAAUAAUAUAAUAUCAAUAAUAAUUAAAUAACUCCUAAACUUAUACUGGAUUAUUCUAUUAAUAUCAAUAGAAGAAAUACUGUUAACAUGAGUAAUAAGAAUUCCAUUCUCCCCGCAUAAGUGUAUAUCAGAACGAAUAAUUCGCUGAUAGUUAACAGACCAUUACAUAAUCAACAGAUAAAAUAUUAAUAAAGUAUACUGUUAACCCAACACAGGUAUGCCUUAAGGGAAAGAUUAAAAAAAGUAAAAGGAACUCGGCAAACACAAACCCCGCCUGUUUACCAAAAACAUCACCUCUAGCAUUUAUAGUAUUAGAGGCACUGCCUGCCCAGUGACAUUAGUUUAACGGCCGCGGUAUCCUGACCGUGCAAAGGUAGCAUAAUCACUUGUUCUCUAAAUAAGGACUAGUAUGAAUGGCCACACGAGGGUUUUACUGUCUCUUACUUUUAAUCAAUGAAAUUGACCUUCCCGUGAAGAGGCGGGAAUAUAUAAAUAAGACGAGAAGACCCUAUGGAGCUUUAAUUAAUUAAUUUAUAAGAAAAUAACUAAACAACCAUAAAGGAUCAACAUAAUUCUUAUAUAAAUUAACAAUUUAGGUUGGGGUGACCUCGGAAUACAAAACAACUUCCGAGUGAUUUUAAGCCUAGACUCACAAGUCAAAGCAACAUAAUCACUUAUUGAUCCAAAACUUUUUGAUCAACGGAACAAGUUACCCUAGGGAUAACAGCGCAAUCCUAUUUAAGAGUCCCUAUCGACAAUAGGGUUUACGACCUCGAUGUUGGAUCAGGACAUCCUAAUGGUGCAGCAGCUAUUAAUGGUUCGUUUGUUCAACGAUUAAAGUCCUACGUGAUCUGAGUUCAGACCGGAGUAAUCCAGGUCGGUUUCUAUCUAUUAUAUAUUUCUCCCAGUACGAAAGGACAAGAGAAAUAAGGCCUACUUCACAAAAGCGCCUUAAUAAUCAAUAGAUGAUAUAAUCUUAAUCUAUAACUAUAUAUAUAUAACUUCAACCCAAGGAACAGGGUUC